GCGUGCAUAUGAGGAACGCAAAAAUCGAAGUUCGUAUGAAUUAGUUAUGAUUUUUUGAAAAUGUUUCCAAAUUAGUAUAAAGCUUCCAUUUUCGGAAAUUUCCGAAAAUAUUUUCAGAAUUUCCAAAAAUGGAAACUCGGAGCUGCAGCCCCUCCCCCGACCGGAAAUCGCCUUCGAUUUUCUUCCGGCUAUUUCUUCCUCCUCCGGCCACCGAUCCUCACCAAACUUCUUCCAUUGGCUUCGUAUGGUCCUUGCGCACCUGUCUGUGGAAGCCUUGAACGGCGGCGCGGCCUGUAGCGGCGGCGGUAAGCCCGGUCCGAUUUAAGCUCGAUUUUGAGUCAACGCCGAUAUCUCGAGUUCUAGACCACCAAUCUUCAAGAUUCUUGGGCUGGUGAACUCAGAUUGAAGUUCUGAACACAUUUCAUGAAGGGAUCGAAGCGAUUUGUUGAAGUUUUUACGUUGAACGGAGCUCUCACCGGAUUCUGGAAAAUUUCAGGCGAACCCGUGUGUUCUAGGUGAUCGAUGGAUUUAUUUGGCGGUCGAUUCGUGAGAUUGUUAAUUGAGCUGUUAAGAAGACGCAGCUGGAUUAGAGCGGGAAAUCCUACAGGUCAGGAGAACCAGGACGGUGAUCGGGCUGCUUAGAGUAGUGUUAUGUGAAUUACAGCAUUAUAUUGUGAGGUUUGUUAUGCUCAUUUAGAGCUUUGCAAUUUUACUUUGUAAGAGUGAAUUGUAAUAAUUAACUCGAGGUUUUCGAGUUUUUGUGUUGAGUGGCGAGUGGUGUGUUUGUUUGUGAGAAAAAAAUUCAGAACGUAUUUGUAUUAAUUGUUUAUUCAUGUUUCGGAUUUGAAUUGGUUAUUCAAAAUUCGGGGCGUGACAGUUUGGUAUCAGAGCGUAAGGUACAUAUUUGGUGAUAAUCAGUACCUCCCGAGUGAUGGCCCGUCUGCAGCGGAUCCCCAUCAUAUACUCUUCGGUACUGGUAUAAUCAUUGGGUAUGUCUUAGUAUGGGGUCUAGACAACGUGUAAGUCCGUAGGACGGUAGAGUUGUCUACUAAGUUCGUAUUAGAAUAAGUUUAGUUUCCGCGAGUUGUGAUCUUCGAGGAAUAGGAACCUCUGGAUUUAACUCUGAUGAGUCGGUGAGGUAGAGGUCGAGUCUGAUGUAGGGACAGGAUCUUUCUAUGGAGACAGUUGAGGAUGAGGUGGAGGCAUUAGAGGUUGAGUUGCCUAGUCUACCUGUAGUUGAUGUGAUGGAUGUUAUUCUUGGGUUGAAAUGGUGAAAGAGAUUAAGACCCUAGGAAUAGUUGAAAAGAGAAUUGAUCUCACCAACUCAAGAUGAUAGGAGUGUGAGAGAUUAUGAGACAGAAUUCUCAAGACUAUAUUGGUGUACGAGUGUAGUGAUGUAAUUUGGGAGAUACUUAUGUUACCUUUAAUAAGGGUAGUAUGUUAAGUGAUCAUGGCAUAGGUUGACUUUGUAAGUGAAGUGGUGGAGUUUGUGUAGCUUCUUUGAGUUAUAACCUUUGAGGAAUGGGAACCUUUGGAUUAAACUCUGGUGGAGUUAUUGAGGAUGGUUUCCACGAAAAACAGUAUCCUUAUGUGCAUUGUAGUCGUUGG
Molecule: long non-coding RNA, 1608 nt
Organism: Rosa rugosa (rugosa rose)
Lineage: Eukaryota; Viridiplantae; Streptophyta; Magnoliopsida; Rosales; Rosaceae
Exons: 3
Source: RefSeq, a predicted model, not a curated record